UACGGGGGGGGCAAGCGUUGUUCGGAUUCACUGGGUUUAAAGGGUGCGUAGGCGGGCAGGUAAGUCCGUGGUGAAAUCUCUGAGCUUAACUCAGAAACUGCCAUGGAUACUAUUUGUCUUGAAUAUUGUGGAGGUAAGCGGAAUAUGUCAUGUAGCGGUGAAAUGCUUAGAUAUGACAUAGAACACCAAUUGCGAAGGCAGCUUACUACACAGUUAUUGACGCUGAGGCACGAAAGCGUGGGGAUCAAACAGG
This 253-nucleotide ribosomal RNA is filed under the name uncultured bacterium. RNAcentral describes it as "partial 16S ribosomal RNA". It matches the Rfam family "Bacterial small subunit ribosomal RNA", at positions 524 to 776 of the family's 1533-position model. The record is from RNAcentral.